UAACACGUGGGUAACCUGCCUGUAAGACUGGGAUAACUCCGGGAAACCGGGGCUAAUACCGGAUGGUUGUCUGAACCGCAUGGUUCAGACAUAAAAGGUGGCUUCGGCUACCACUUACAGAUGGACCCGCGGCGCAUUAGCUAGUUGGUGAGGUAACGGCUCACCAAGGCGACGAUGCGUAGCCGACCUGAGAGGGUGAUCGGCCACACUGGGACUGAGACACGGCCCAGACUCCUACGGGAGGCAGCAGUAGGGAAUCUUCCGCAAUGGACGAAAGUCUGACGGAGCAACGCCGCGUGAGUGAUGAAGGUUUUCGGAUCGUAAAGCUCUGUUGUUAGGGAAGAACAAGUGCCGUUCAAAUAGGGCGGCACCUUGACGGUACCUAACCAGAAAGCCACGGCUAACUACGUGCCAGCAGCCGCGGUAAUACGUAGGUGGCAAGCGUUGUCCGGAAUUAUUGGGCGUAAAGGGCUCGCAGGCGGUUUCUUAAGUCUGAUGUGAAAGCCCCCGGCUCAACCGGGGAGGGUCAUUGGAAACUGGGGAACUUGAGUGCAGAAGAGGAGAGUGGAAUUCCACGUGUAGCGGUGAAAUGCGUAGAGAUGUGGAGGAACACCAGUGGCGAAGGCGACUCUCUGGUCUGUAACUGACGCUGAGGAGCGAAAGCGUGGGGAGCGAACAGGAUUAGAUACCCUGGUAGUCCACGCCGUAAACGAUGAGUGCUAAGUGUUAGGGGGUUUCCGCCCCUUAGUGCUGCAGCUAACGCAUUAAGCACUCCGCCUGGGGAGUACGGUCGCAAGACUGAAACUCAAAGGAAUUGACGGGGGCCCGCACAAGCGGUGGAGCAUGUGGUUUAAUUCGAAGCAACGCGAAGAACCUUACCAGGUCUUGACAUCCUCUGACAAUCCUAGAGAUAGGACGUCCCCUUCGGGGGCAGAGUGACAGGUGGUGCAUGGUUGUCGUCAGCUCGUGUCGUGAGAUGUUGGGUUAAGUCCCGCAACGAGCGCAACCCUUGAUCUUAGUUGCCAGCAUUCAGUUGGGCACUCUAAGGUGACUGCCGGUGACAAACCGGAGGAAGGUGGGGAUGACGUCAAAUCAUCAUGCCCCUUAUGACCUGGGCUACACACGUGCUACAAUGGACAGAACAAAGGGCAGCGAAACCGCGAGGUUAAGCCAAUCCCACAAAUCUGUUCUCAGUUCGGAUCGCAGUCUGCAACUCGACUGCGUGAAGCUGGAAUCGCUAGUAAUCGCGGAUCAGCAUGCCGCGGUGA
This 1268-nucleotide ribosomal RNA is filed under the name Bacillus amyloliquefaciens. Its description in RNAcentral is "bacterial SSU rRNA". It matches the Rfam family "Bacterial small subunit ribosomal RNA", at positions 111 to 1365 of the family's 1533-position model. The record is from RNAcentral. Lineage: Bacteria; Bacillati; Bacillota; Bacilli; Caryophanales; Bacillaceae.